ACAGGGGCGUUGCAGGUGGAGCCCUGAAAGCUGAACUUUGAGCUGCUGAGUCAGUGUGAGACAUCCAGAAGGAUCCACACCAUUUUUCAGGCGUGUCAGAGCAUGUGUGCAAACCUCGGGAAGUGUUCCCAACCUUCCUGCACGCAGAGGGUUCCUGGAACUGUUGUGACCUGCAGAGAUCUCCCUGGGAUGCCAGGGCAGCUCUCAGGGAGGAAGUUUAAAGGUCACUGCUCCAAGAUGUGCUCCAGACAAAGCUCCGGUGGCUGCCAUGGGAUGUCCUCCCAGUCCAGCGGGUGCCACAGCCAAGGCUCCGGUUGCCACGGGGGCGGCUCCUCCAGUUACCAAUCCCAAGGCUCCUCCUGCUCCGGGGGCGGAGGGGGCAAAGUCAUCAUCAGCUCUGGUGGUGGAGGAGGGGGAUCCUGCUGCAGUGGGGGCUCCUCUGGAUAUGGGAUGGGAGGGGGAUAUAGUGGUGGCUCUUCAGGAUCAAAGAGCAUCAUUGGAGAGGGAAGCAGUGGAGGAUACUCAGGUUGUGGCAUGGGAGGAGGGUACGGUGGUGGCUCUUCAGGAUCAAAGAGCAUCAUUGGAGGUGGAGGUUCCUCUGGAUGCUGCAGUGGAGGAUCCAGCUAUGGGAUGGGAGGAGGAUACGGUGGUGGCUCUUCAGGAUCAAAGACCAUCAUUGGAGGGGGAAGCAGUGGAGGAUACUCAGGUUGUGGCAUGGGAGGAGGAUAUGGUGGUGGCUCUUCAGGAUCAAAGAGCAUCAUUGGAGGGGGAGGUUCCUCUGGAUGCUGCAGUGGAGGAUCCAGCUAUGGGAUGGGAGGAGGAUACGGUGGUGGCUCUUCAGGAUCAAAGACCAUCAUUGGAGGGGGAGGUUCCUCUGGAUACUGUGGUGGAGGAUACUCAGGAUAUGGCAUGGGAGGAGGGUACGGUGGUGGCUCUUCAGGAGGGAAGACCAUCAUUGGAGGUGGAGGCAGUGGUGGAUGCUACGGUGGAGGAUCCAGCUAUGGGAUGGGAGGAGGAUACGGUGGUGGCUCCUCAGGCCAGACCAUCAUCAUCAGCUCUGGAGGUGGCGGCGGAGGCUCCUCGCAGCAGAAAUGUCCCAUUGUCAUCCCCAGCGUGGUGUCCCACCAGAGCAAGCAGAGCUCCUACUGGCCCUAUGGCCAGCAGAAGUAACAGCCCUGGCCAGCUCCAAUUCUGAGUCUCUGCCAUGGCUCGUCCUUGCCUUCAGCCCUGGCUCUGCUGCCUGGUCCUUCCCAACGUGUCCUCUCCGGUCCCCUGGACGCUGCACCCUCGUGUGAGAUCUCCAGGAUUGCCCUGCUGUGCCCUGCUCCUGGUGCCGGGGUGCCUUUGAUAAUGUUCUGCCACUUUUUACACCCAAUAAAUGUUACAAUUGCUCAAACCUGCCCUUUUUU
Molecule: long non-coding RNA, 1409 nt
Filed under: Serinus canaria (Common canary)
Lineage: Eukaryota; Metazoa; Chordata; Aves; Passeriformes; Fringillidae
Description: lncRNA (ENSSCAG00000011028.1)
Source: RNAcentral